UACGUAGGGAGCGAGCGUUGUCCGGAAUUACUGGGUGUAAAGGGAGCGUAGGCGGGAUCGCAAGUCAGAUGUGAAAAUUAUGGGCUUAACCCAUAAACUGCAUUUGAAACUGUGGUUCUUGAGUGAAGUAGAGGUAAGCGGAAUUCCUAGUGUAGCGGUGAAAUGCGUAGAUAUUAGGAGGAACAUCAGUGGCGAAGGCGGCUUACUGGGCUUUAACUGACGCUGAGGCUCGAAAGCGUGGGGAGCAAACAGG
This 253-nucleotide ribosomal RNA is filed under the name Ruminococcus champanellensis 18P13 = JCM 17042. RNAcentral describes it as "partial 16S ribosomal RNA". It matches the Rfam family "Bacterial small subunit ribosomal RNA", at positions 524 to 776 of the family's 1533-position model. Lineage: Bacteria; Bacillati; Bacillota; Clostridia; Eubacteriales; Oscillospiraceae. The record is from RNAcentral.